CAUGCAAGUCGAACGGCAGCACGGAGAGCUUGCUCUCUGGUGGCGAGUGGCGCAACGGGUGAGUAAUAUAUCGGAACGUGUCCAAUAAUGGGGGAUAACGAGUCGAAAGAUUCGCUAAUACCGCAUACGCCCUACGGGGGAAAGCAGGGGAUCGUAAGACCUUGCGUUAAUGGAGCGGCCGAUAUCUGAUUAGCUUGUUGGUGAGGUAAAGGCUCACCAAGGCGACGAUCAGUAGCUGGUUUGAGAGAACGACCAGCCACACUGGAACUGAGACACGGUCCAGACUCCUACGGGAGGCAGCAGUGGGGAAUUUUGGACAAUGGGGGCAACCCUGAUCCAGCCAUUCCGCGUGAGUGAAGAAGGCCUUCGGGUUGUAAAGCUCUUUCGCAAGGGAAGAAAACUUAUGAUCGAAUAAAUCAUGAGGUUGACGGUACCUUGAUAAGAAGCACCGGCUAACUACGUGCCAGCAGCCGCGGUAAUACGUAGGGUGCGAGCGUUAAUCGGAAUUACUGGGCGUAAAGCGUGCGUAGGCGGUUUUGUAAGUCGGAUGUGAAAUCCCCGGGCUCUACCU
This 571-nucleotide ribosomal RNA is filed under the name uncultured beta proteobacterium. RNAcentral describes it as "bacterial SSU rRNA". It matches the Rfam family "Bacterial small subunit ribosomal RNA", at positions 54 to 615 of the family's 1533-position model. The record is from RNAcentral. Lineage: Bacteria; Pseudomonadati; Pseudomonadota; Betaproteobacteria.